This 484-nucleotide ribosomal RNA is filed under the name uncultured bacterium. RNAcentral's name for it is "partial 16S ribosomal RNA". It matches the Rfam family "Bacterial small subunit ribosomal RNA", at positions 30 to 507 of the family's 1533-position model. The record is from RNAcentral.
AUUGAACGCUGGCGGCAGGCCUAACACAUGCAAGUCGAGCGGAUGAAGGGAGCUUGCUCCUGGAUUCAGCGGCGGACGGGUGAGUAAUGCCUAGGAAUCUGCCUGGUAGUGGGGGAUAACGUCCGGAAACGGGCGCUAAUACCGCAUACGUCCUGAGGGAGAAAGUGGGGGAUCUUCGGACCUCACGCUAUCAGAUGAGCCUAGGUCGGAUUAGCUAGUUGGUGGGGUAAAGGCCUACCAAGGCGACGAUCCGUAACUGGUCUGAGAGGAUGAUCAGUCACACCGGAACUUGGAAAACGUCCAGACUCCUACGGGAGGCAGCAGUGGGGAAUAUUGGACAAUGGGCGAAAGCCUGAUCCAGCCAUGCCGCGUGUGUGAAGAAGGUCUUCGGAUUGUAAAGCACUUUAAGUUGGGAGGAAGGGCAGUAAGUUAAUACCUUGCUGUUUUGACGUUACCAACAGAAUAAGCACCGGCUAACUUCGUG